GGUGGGCUGGCUUAGCCGCGAGCGCGCCGCGCUGCUGACGCGCUGGCCGCAGUGGUUCGAGGUCGGUGCCGAUCA
RNAcentral lists this transfer RNA (75 nucleotides) under Ralstonia syzygii. Its description in RNAcentral is "tRNA-Ser". The record is from RNAcentral. Lineage: Bacteria; Pseudomonadati; Pseudomonadota; Betaproteobacteria; Burkholderiales; Burkholderiaceae. RNAcentral also lists the same sequence under 1 other name.